Molecule: ribosomal RNA, 549 nt
Filed under: Weissella paramesenteroides
Lineage: Bacteria; Bacillati; Bacillota; Bacilli; Lactobacillales; Lactobacillaceae
Description: bacterial SSU rRNA
Rfam family: Bacterial small subunit ribosomal RNA
Source: RNAcentral
UGGCGAACGGGUGAGUAACACGUGGGUAACCUACCUCUUAGCAGGGGAUAACAUUUGGAAACAAGUGCUAAUACCGUAUAAUACCAACAACCGCAUGGUUGUUGGUUGAAAGAUGGUUCUGCUAUCACUAAGAGAUGGACCCGCGGUGCAUUAGCUAGUUGGUAAGGUAACGGCUUACCAAGGCAAUGAUGCAUAGCCGAGUUGAGAGACUGAUCGGCCACAAUGGGACUGAGACACGGCCCAUACUCCUACGGGAGGCAGCAGUAGGGAAUCUUCCACAAUGGGCGCAAGCCUGAUGGAGCAACGCCGCGUGUGUGAUGAAGGGUUUCGGCUCGUAAAACACUGUUAUAAGAGAAGAACGGCACUGAGAGUAACUGUUCAGUGUGUGACGGUAUCUUACCAGAAAGGAACGGCUAAAUACGUGCCAGCAGCCGCGGUAAUACGUAUGUUCCAAGCGUUAUCCGGAUUUAUUGGGCGUAAAGCGAGCGCAGACGGUUAUUUAAGUCUGAAGUGAAAGCCCUCAGCUCAACUGAGGAAUGGCUGUGGAAA